This 251-nucleotide unclassified non-coding RNA is filed under the name plant metagenome. RNAcentral's name for it is "partial contains small subunit ribosomal RNA and internal transcribed spacer 1". The stretch from base 1 to 46 matches the Rfam family "Eukaryotic small subunit ribosomal RNA", at positions 1786 to 1831 of the family's 1831-position model. The record is from RNAcentral.
AAGUCGUAACAAGGUUUCCGUAGGUGAACCUGCGGAAGGAUCAUUACCGAGAUAGGGUGCCGGCCUAAACCCCCGGCGCUCGACCUCCAACCCUAUGUCUACAUUACCACUGUUGCCUCGGCGGGUCGUCGAAAGCCUAGAGAUAGGCCCAGCCGUCGGCCCCUUAAACAAGGGCCCUCGAGCGCCCGUCGAAGGACCACAUUAAACCAUUUUGAAACGAGCCUUCUGAGUAAAAUCAUAAUACUUCAAAA